This 2660-nucleotide long non-coding RNA is filed under the name Phocoena sinus (vaquita). Its description in RNAcentral is "lncRNA (ENSPSNG00000020875.1)". Lineage: Eukaryota; Metazoa; Chordata; Mammalia; Artiodactyla; Phocoenidae. The record is from RNAcentral.
UAGUGGGCAGGUCAGGCUAAGCUGGUUUGCAGCAUCUGAGAGGUGUGGGUCCCUAGGCCCCUGAGAGCUGAACUGAGCAGAGAACUGCAGGGCCCAGGUCCAAAGAAGAGAUGAAUUGGCCCAGGGCUACACAGCAGAGCAAGGGAGUUAGAGGGUCCUUGGCUAGCACGCUAUCUAUCGUUCUACCCUGCCUCUCACUGCCUGCCUUGCCUCUCUCUCUCUUCCCUUUUCAACAUCCUGCCUGCCUUUGUUGUUAAGAUGGCCAAAUAAUUCAUUUACUCUAAAUUGAUUGCCUGAGAGCUGCUGAGUGUCAGGCUGUGGGGAGGAAGUCUCCAUACCCAGGACAGAGGCCCUUGAGUACAGGGGCUGCCUUUUUCCUGCCUGGAUCAUCACCGUCUCUGCACAGCUCUGGUGGAAUUGAUGCUUUCUGUUGGAAAGCCAAGCCUUGUGGAGACAGAUUUUUGGGCUUCCAGUCGCUGGAUUGGAUGGAACCCUUGACCCCCUAGGCCAGGCCUUACUGUAGCUGUGCCAGGCAGCUCCUUUGCAGUUUGGCCCCGGCCACUCUUAGGAAAGACUGUUAAGAAUAUUCGCUGGCCAGAGGAAAGGACCUCAUGGGCUUUACAAACGUCCCACCGUCCAUGUCAGAUGGAUCCUCACAGCUCGUGGGUCAGAAACAGUCCCGGUACUGCCAUCAGGGAAUCAGGAGAGGAAGGGUUAUGAUGCUGCUAGGACUUAGGCCGGCCAUCUGUGGAGAGGACAGACUGCCCAGGAGGAAGAAAGGGAAGAGGCCUCCCAGAGGAGCACCAGGAUGGGCUGGGAUUUCCCCAUCGGCCUCACAGUGGGAGGGAGUACCCAAGCAGUCCCUGCAAAGGGGCAAGGUCAGAAGUCGAGCUUAGUCCCUGCCUGGAUCUGGGCUGGCCAAGCUCCUGCUUUCCAUCAGUGGAUUCAGGAAUGGUUGGUGUGGCCUGAGAUAUUCAGUGCCCACCAGGACUCGCUGGGCCUACAGCUGGACAACAAGAGAAAUGAUUGAGUUGGACUAACUGCUGGUGAUGGGCCAAGUGGCCCUGUGCUCUCCCAGAAUUCUGCCCUGGGACAUGAUCCUGUAGGCUGCUGCUUUUUUCUUGGUCCCUACUAGGGCCCCAGCUGGCAUCCCAGAGACUGCAACCCAUCAGGGGAGUGUUGUGCUGUCUGUAAAGGAAAUUCAUCCUGUGCAAACUCGGGGAUGCCUAGCUCCCAAACCAAGAAGUUGGAAACAUCAGGCUCUUAAAAUGGUCAGAAGCAAGCAGGAUUGGGAAUUAAAACCAGAAGCUUUUGCAACUGGAACGAAGUUCAGAGAACAUCUACUCCAACAGUCCUCUCCUUUUAUAGAUAAGGAAACAGGCCCAGGAGAUUAAGUGACUUGGCCAAAGUCACACAAGAAAUUAGGGCAGAACUGGGACUAACCUCAUUCCUGAGGAUUGGACAACACUGUUUAGUCCUAAAGCUGAAUGGCGGGUGAGGGGUUAGGCUGGCGAGGCCUCCAGCAGUGUCUGCGCAGCUGGUACCUUCAGGGGUGUGUCAGGGAUGGGGAUGGGUGCCUGGGCUUGGGUUGUAGAGCAGCUGAGCAGCCCAGGAGGGCUCAGGACAGCUGUGUGCUGCUUGGGGUUGGGUGUCCGCCUGCCUCACACUCAGUACCCAUGGCCACCUCCCCAUUUUCUGUGCCUUAUCUCACUGUUUCAGCUGAGUCCAAGUUGUUUACUCUGUUCCUCUCCAGAGGGGCUUUCUGUUCCAGUUGGACAGCAUACCUUUGGGACAUAAGCCUUUGCCCCACAAGCCGUGGAGAGGUCCAAACUCAAGCUGCUUGAGCCCACUGUCUUGCUGACAGUCCAGGCCUGCCUGCCAGCCCGAGGAGCCCCUUAUGCACACCCAGUCCUGCCAGCCUGCUUCCGGGAGCCGAGAGUGGGGAAGGCACCUGGGAGGAGUCCCGGUGAAGAGCUGAACUUGAACCAAGGAGGCAGGAAGAAGACCUGGCUCUGUUGGGUUGUUCAGCCCUCGGGGAGCAGCCUUCCCUACUUACCUUUUCCUCUUGCUUCACCAAAUGGUCGCUCCUUCCAGAGCAGAAACUGGCAGACAUGCAAAGAAAGCCAGAACCCCUAUUCCUCACCUACAUGGGUCUGUGGCUGGGUGUCGGCCGGCAGAACAGGGACACCAAGAGAUGGAGAAGUGGGGACUGCCCAGCCUCCCAGCACCUUCCUACCCCUUAAGCAAGCACAAAGAAGAUGAGGCAGAGACCUGUCAGAGCUGAAAGUUCCUUUGGUCGCUCACAACUCAGGUAUGCACACCGUGUGGCAGCUGGGCAGGAGAGCCCUACUUGACCACCAGCCCCGUGCACACAGACCUGUGGCCAGAUUGUGGACUCUGGCUGCCUCAGGCGCCGCAUCUUUGCAUUGGGUUUUCCUCCAUUAGUAACUACAGCUGACACAGAUGUCCUCCACAUCGUGCACACUGGUUCUGCCUUUGUCCUCGCAAGUUGAUACUUGGCAUUAGCAUGAAACUUGUGGGUGUGGGAGGGUUUAGAGAGAAUUCUAACACAAAACAUCCUAUUAAAUUGUACUUGAGAGAUGAAAAAACUCCUGUUGUAUUUUGACAGAAUUAUUUUUAUUAAAAUACACAUCCAUGAG